UUAAGCGACUAAGCGUACACGGUGGAUGCCCUGGCAGUCAGAGGCGAUGAAGGACGUGCUAAUCUGCGAAAAGCGUCGGUAAGGUGAUAUGAACCGUUAUAACCGGCGAUGUCCGAAUGGGGAAACCCAGUGCAAUUCGUUGCACUAUCGUUAACUGAAUACAUAGGUUAACGAGGCGAACCGGGGGAACUGAAACAUCUAAGUACCCCGAGGAAAAGAAAUCAACCGAGAUUCCCCCAGUAGCGGCGAGCGAACGGGGAGCAGCCCAGAGUCUGAAUCAGCUUGUGUGUUAGUGGAACGGUCUGGAAAGUCCGACGGUACAGGGUGAUAGUCCCGUACACCAAAAUGCACAGGCUGUGAACUCGAAGAGUAGGGCGGGACACGUGGUAUCCUGUCUGAAUAUGGGGGGACCAUCCUCCAAGGCUAAAUACUCCUGACUGACCGAUAGUGAACCAGUACCGUGAGGGAAAGGCGAAAAGAACCCCGGCGAGGGGAGUGAAAAAGAACCUGAAACCGUGUACGUACAAGCAGUGGGAGCACCUUCGGGUGUGACUGCGUACCUUUUGUAUAAUGGGUCAGCGACUUAUAUUCUGUAGCAAGGUUAACCGUAUAGGGGAGCCGCAGGGAAACCGAGUCUUAACUGGGCGUUAAGUUGCAGGGUAUAGACCCGAAACCCGGUGAUCUAGCCAUGGGCAGGUUGAAGGUUGGGUAACACUAACUGGAGGACCGAACCGACUAAUGUUGAAAAAUUAGCGGAUGACUUGUGGCUGGGGGUGAAAGGCCAAUCAAACCGGGAGAUAGCUGGUUCUCCCCGAAAGCUAUUUAGGUAGCGCCUCGUGAACUCAUCUUCGGGGGUAGAGCACUGUUUCGGCUAGGGGGUCAUCCCGACUUACCAACCCGAUGCAAACUACGAAUACCGAAGAAUGUUAUCACGGGAGACACACGGCGGGUGCUAACGUCCGUCGUGAAGAGGGAAACAACCCAGACCGCCAGCUAAGGUCCCAAAGUCAUGGUUAAGUGGGAAACGAUGUGGGAAGGCACAGACAGCCAGGAUGUUGGCUUAGAAGCAGCCAUCAUUUAAAGAAAGCGUAAUAGCUCACUGGUCGAGUCGGCCUGCGCGGAAGAUGUAACGGGGCUAAACCAUGCACCGAAGCUGCGGCAGCGACACUAUGUGUUGUUGGGUAGGGGAGCGUUCUGUAAGCCUGCGAAGGUGUGCUGUGAGGCAUGCUGGAGGUAUCAGAAGUGCGAAUGCUGACAUAAGUAACGAUAAAGCGGGUGAAAAGCCCGCUCGCCGGAAGACCAAGGGUUCCUGUCCAACGUUAAUCGGGGCAGGGUGAGUCGACCCCUAAGGCGAGGCCGAAAGGCGUAGUCGAUGGGAAACAGGUUAAUAUUCCUGUACUUGGUGUUACUGCGAAGGGGGGACGGAGAAGGCUAUGUUAGCCGGGCGACGGUUGUCCCGGUUUAAGCAUGUAGGCUGAUUGUCCAGGCAAAUCCGGAUAAUCAAGGCUGAGGUGUGAUGACGAGGCACUACGGUGCUGAAGUAACAAAUGCCCUGCUUCCAGGAAAAGCCUCUAAGCAUCAGGUAACAUUAAAUCGUACCCCAAACCGACACAGGUGGUCAGGUAGAGAAUACCAAGGCGCUUGAGAGAACUCGGGUGAAGGAACUAGGCAAAAUGGUGCCGUAACUUCGGGAGAAGGCACGCUGGUGUGUAGGUGAAGUCCCUGCGGAUGGAGCUGAGACCAGUCGAAGAUACCAGCUGGCUGCAACUGUUUAUUAAAAACACAGCACUGUGCAAACACGAAAGUGGACGUAUACGGUGUGACGCCUGCCCGGUGCCGGAAGGUUAAUUGAUGGGGUUAUCCGUAAGGAGAAGCUCUUGAUCGAAGCCCCGGUAAACGGCGGCCGUAACUAUAACGGUCCUAAGGUAGCGAAAUUCCUUGUCGGGUAAGUUCCGACCUGCACGAAUGGCGUAAUGAUGGCCAGGCUGUCUCCACCCGAGACUCAGUGAAAUUGAACUCGCUGUGAAGAUGCAGUGUACCCGCGGCAAGACGGAAAGACCCCGUGAACCUUUACUAUAGCUUGACACUGAACAUUGAGCCUUGAUGUGUAGGAUAGGUGGGAGGCUUUGAAGCGUGGACGCCAGUCUGCGUGGAGCCAACCUUGAAAUACCACCCUUUAAUGUUUGAUGUUCUAACGUUGGCCCCUGACCGGGGUUGCGGACAGUGUCUGGUGGGUAGUUUGACUGGGGCGGUCUCCUCCCAAAGCGUAACGGAGGAGCACGAAGGUUAGCUAAUCCUGGUCGGACAUCAGGAGGUUAGUGCAAUGGCAUAAGCUAGCUUGACUGCGAGCGUGACGGCGCGAGCAGGUGCGAAAGCAGGUCAUAGUGAUCCGGUGGUUCUGAAUGGAAGGGCCAUCGCUCAACGGAUAAAAGGUACUCCGGGGAUAACAGGCUGAUACCGCCCAAGAGUUCAUAUCGACGGCGGUGUUUGGCACCUCGAUGUCGGCUCAUCACAUCCUGGGGCUGAAGUAGGUCCCAAGGGUAUGGCUGUUCGCCAUUUAAAGUGGUACGCGAGC
This 2575-nucleotide ribosomal RNA is filed under the name Klebsiella pneumoniae CHS 57. RNAcentral's name for it is "bacterial LSU rRNA". It matches the Rfam family "Bacterial large subunit ribosomal RNA", at positions 1 to 2605 of the family's 2925-position model. The record is from RNAcentral. Lineage: Bacteria; Pseudomonadati; Pseudomonadota; Gammaproteobacteria; Enterobacterales; Enterobacteriaceae.